RNAcentral lists this ribosomal RNA (726 nucleotides) under uncultured Clostridium sp. RNAcentral describes it as "bacterial SSU rRNA". It matches the Rfam family "Bacterial small subunit ribosomal RNA", at positions 28 to 753 of the family's 1533-position model. The record is from RNAcentral. Lineage: Bacteria; Bacillati; Bacillota; Clostridia; Eubacteriales; Clostridiaceae.
GAUGAACGCUGGCGGCGUGCCUAACACAUGCAAGUCGAGCGAGAAGUAAAGAAAUGAAGCUUCGGUAGAUUUUCAUUAUGGAAAGCGGCGGACGGGUGAGUAACGCGUAGGCAACCUGCCCUGUACAGGGGGAUAGCCACCCGAAAAGGUGAUUAAUACCCCAUGAUGCAAGAGAUACACAUGUAUCACUUGUCAAAGAUUUAUCGGUAUGGGAUGGGCCUGCGUCUGAUUAGCUAGUUGGUAGGGUAACGGCUUACCAAGGCAACGAUCAGUAGCCGACCUGAGAGGGUGAUCGGCCACAUUGGAACUGAGACACGGUCCAAACUCCUACGGGAGGCAGCAGUGGGGAAUAUUGCACAAUGGGGGAAACCCUGAUGCAGCAACGCCGCGUGAAGGAAGAAGGCCUUCGGGUUGUAAACUUCUGUCCUAGGGGAAGAAACAAAUGACAUUACCCUUGGAGGAAGCCCCGGCUAACUACGUGCCAGCAGCCGCGGUAAUACGUAGGGGGCGAGCGUUAUCCGGAAUUAUUGGGCGUAAAGAGUGCGUAGGUGGCAUCUUAAGCGCAGGGUUUAAGGCAAUGGCUCAACCAUUGUUCGCCUUGCGAACUGGGGUGCUUGAGUGCAGGAGGGGAAAGUGGAAUUCCUAGUGUAGCGGUGAAAUGCGUAGAUAUUAGGAGGAACACCAGUGGCGAAGGCGACUUUCUGGACUGUUACUGACACUGAGGCA